ACUCAGUAAAACAAGACCACAAAUCUAGGCAGUUCAGUGAGAAAAUACCAUAGUGAUUUACUGGAGGGUCACCGUGAGCUGCAACUUGACAGCACUUGAAGCAUGGCAUAACCAUCGUUUCCAGUAGCAUGCUAAAUUUUGAGAGCAGAUCGGUACGUGGUAGAGAAUGCUGAACUGGACAAAAUUUCUGUUGGUAGCCAACAAGAAUUUUGAUGCGCUCCAAAAACAGCUUAAAGAGACGAACUUAAAAAGAGGAGACUGCAAAAUCAGUG
Molecule: long non-coding RNA, 272 nt
Organism: Gekko japonicus
Lineage: Eukaryota; Metazoa; Chordata; Lepidosauria; Squamata; Gekkonidae
Exons: 2
Source: RefSeq, a predicted model, not a curated record